RNAcentral lists this ribosomal RNA (561 nucleotides) under uncultured bacterium. Its description in RNAcentral is "bacterial SSU rRNA". It matches the Rfam family "Bacterial small subunit ribosomal RNA", at positions 37 to 537 of the family's 1533-position model. The record is from RNAcentral.
ACGACGCUGGCGGCGUGGAUUAGGCAUGCAAGUCGAACGGGAAGCUUUGGAUUCAAGACUUCGGUCAAGAAUCUAAAGUGGAGAGUGGCGAAAGGGUGAGUAACACGUGGGUAACCUGCCUUUAGGUCUGGGAUAACUUGUCGAAAGACGGGCUAAUACCGGAUAUGACUACAGAUGCUUCGGCAUCAGUGGUAAAAGAUGAGGACCUCUUCGGAGGCUUAUCACCUUUAGAUGGGCCCGCGGCUUAUUAGCUUGUUGGUAGGGUAACGGCCUACCAAGGCUAUGAUGAGUAGCUGGUCUGAGAGGAUGGUCAGCCACACUGGGACUGAGACACUGCCCAGACUCCUACGGGAGGCUGCAGUCGAGAAUCUUUCGCAAUGGGGGAAACCCUGACGAAGCGACGCCGCGUGCGGGAUGAAGGCCCUCGGGUUGUAAACCGCUGUCACAACGGAAGAAAAGUGGUCGUGCUAAUAUCACGGUCAUCUGACUGUACGUUGAGAGGAAGCCACGGCUAACUCCGUGCCAGCCGCCGCGGUAAUACAAGCCGAAUUCCAGGCACAC